UCUCAGCUGCGGCGGCAGGGGCUGAGGGCACAGCCAGCGGGCGGCGCGCCGCGGACUCCCAGGCAGCCCGCCGAAAGAAUCCUGAACAUCAUCAUAAAAAGACAGUCACCAGUCCUGCUCAUCUGGAGAAUUGUUCUCACAAUCUGCAGCGAGGAGAUAAAACAGAGUACUGCGGAGAUGAAGUAACUUUCCCUGAGACCCAUACCUGGUAAGUAAUGAAAGAAAAAGUAAAUACAUUCGAACAAA
Macaca mulatta (Rhesus monkey) is the source of this 246-nucleotide non-coding RNA. The record is from RefSeq and is a predicted model, not a curated record. NCBI's taxonomy places the organism in Eukaryota, Metazoa, Chordata, Mammalia, Primates, Cercopithecidae.